RNAcentral lists this ribosomal RNA (1811 nucleotides) under Escherichia coli. RNAcentral's name for it is "partial 23S ribosomal RNA". It matches the Rfam family "Bacterial large subunit ribosomal RNA", at positions 411 to 2207 of the family's 2925-position model. Lineage: Bacteria; Pseudomonadati; Pseudomonadota; Gammaproteobacteria; Enterobacterales; Enterobacteriaceae. The record is from RNAcentral.
AGUAGGGCGGGACACGUGGUAUCCUGUCUGAAUAUGGGGGGACCAUCCUCCAAGGCUAAAUACUCCUGACUGACCGAUAGUGAACCAGUACCGUGAGGGAAAGGCGAAAAGAACCCCGGCGAGGGGAGUGAAAAAGAACCUGAAACCGUGUACGUACAAGCAGUGGGAGCACGCUUAGGCGUGUGACUGCGUACCUUUUGUAUAAUGGGUCAGCGACUUAUAUUCUGUAGCAAGGUUAACCGAAUAGGGGAGCCGAAGGGAAACCGAGUCUUAACUGGGCGUUAAGUUGCAGGGUAUAGACCCGAAACCCGGUGAUCUAGCCAUGGGCAGGUUGAAGGUUGGGUAACACUAACUGGAGGACCGAACCGACUAAUGUUGAAAAAUUAGCGGAUGACUUGUGGCUGGGGGUGAAAGGCCAAUCAAACCGGGAGAUAGCUGGUUCUCCCCGAAAGCUAUUUAGGUAGCGCCUCGUGAAUUCAUCUCCGGGGGUAGAGCACUGUUUCGGCAAGGGGGUCAUCCCGACUUACCAACCCGAUGCAAACUGCGAAUACCGGAGAAUGUUAUCACGGGAGACACACGGCGGGUGCUAACGUCCGUCGUGAAGAGGGAAACAACCCAGACCGCCAGCUAAGGUCCCAAAGUCAUGGUUAAGUGGGAAACGAUGUGGGAAGGCCCAGACAGCCAGGAUGUUGGCUUAGAAGCAGCCAUCAUUUAAAGAAAGCGUAAUAGCUCACUGGUCGAGUCGGCCUGCGCGGAAGAUGUAACGGGGCUAAACCAUGCACCGAAGCUGCGGCAGCGACGCUGAUGCGUUGUUGGGUAGGGGAGCGUUCUGUAAGCCUGCGAAGGUGUGCUGUGAGGCAUGCUGGAGGUAUCAGAAGUGCGAAUGCUGACAUAAGUAACGAUAAAGCGGGUGAAAAGCCCGCUCGCCGGAAGACCAAGGGUUCCUGUCCAACGUUAAUCGGGGCAGGGUGAGUCGACCCCUAAGGCGAGGCCGAAAGGCGUAGUCGAUGGGAAACAGGUUAAUAUUCCUGUACUUGGUGUUACUGCGAAGGGGGGACGGAGAAGGCUAUGUUGGCCGGGCGACGGUUGUCCCGGUUUAAGCGUGUAGGCUGGUUUUCCAGGCAAAUCCGGAAAAUCAAGGCUGAGGCGUGAUGACGAGGCACUACGGUGCUGAAGCAACAAAUGCCCUGCUUCCAGGAAAAGCCUCUAAGCAUCAGGUAACAUCAAAUCGUACCCCAAACCGACACAGGUGGUCAGGUAGAGAAUACCAAGGCGCUUGAGAGAACUCGGGUGAAGGAACUAGGCAAAAUGGUGCCGUAACUUCGGGAGAAGGCACGCUGAUAUGUAGGUGAAGUCCCUCGCGGAUGGAGCUGAAAUCAGUCGAAGAUACCAGCUGGCUGCAACUGUUUAUUAAAAACACAGCACUGUGCAAACACGAAAGUGGACGUAUACGGUGUGACGCCUGCCCGGUGCCGGAAGGUUAAUUGAUGGGGUUAGCGCAAGCGAAGCUCUUGAUCGAAGCCCCGGUAAACGGCGGCCGUAACUAUAACGGUCCUAAGGUAGCGAAAUUCCUUGUCGGGUAAGUUCCGACCUGCACGAAUGGCGUAAUGAUGGCCAGGCUGUCUCCACCCGAGACUCAGUGAAAUUGAACUCGCUGUGAAGAUGCAGUGUACCCGCGGCAAGACGGAAAGACCCCGUGAACCUUUACUAUAGCUUGACACUGAACAUUGAGCCUUGAUGUGUAGGAUAGGUGGGAGGCUUUGAAGUGUGGACGCCAGUCUGCAUGGAGCCGACCUUGAAAUACCACCCUU